GAUGAAGAACGCAGCGAAAUGCGAUACGUAAUGUGAAUUGCAGAAUUCAGUGAAUCAUCGAGUCUUUGAACGCACAUUGCGCCCCCUGGUAUUCCGGGGGGCAUGCCUGUCCGAGCGUCAUUGCUGCCCUCAAGCACGGCUUGUGUGUUGGGCCUCCGUCCUCCUCCCGGGGGACGGGCCCGAAAGGCAGCGGCGGCACCGCGUCCGGUCCUCGAACGUAUGGGGCUUCGUCACCCGCUCUUGUAGGCCCGGCCGGCGCUUGCCGACACAUCAAUCUUUUUUCCAGGUUGACCUCGGAUCAGGUAGGGAUACCCGCUGAACUUAAGCAUAUCAAUAAGCGGAGGA
This 345-nucleotide unclassified non-coding RNA is filed under the name soil metagenome. Its description in RNAcentral is "partial contains 5.8S ribosomal RNA, internal transcribed spacer 2, and large subunit ribosomal RNA". The stretch from base 1 to 120 matches the Rfam family "5.8S ribosomal RNA", at positions 35 to 154 of the family's 154-position model. The record is from RNAcentral.